CUUCCUUCCCCGUCCAAACACGUGGCAUUGAAUCCGCAUCGUGGCUAAACAAUGUGGAAAACCUAUCCUUCAUACGAAUGAGAACCCUUCCGGCUUCUUCCCUUGUUUUUGAUUCAACUACACCUCUAGCAUAAUCCUUAAGACUGGUAACCAUUCUUUCCUUGGUUUUUUCAUCCAUAUCAUAGCCCUCCAGUCCUUUAGACAGCCCAGUGAUGGCAGACUCAGUCUCUCGUUGAAGAAGUUUUCUUAUGGCUGGCCAUGUCUCAUUAUUAGCUCCAUCUAGCAAAGCUUCCACGGGUCCUGACAAUGCUUCCUUCAGUUUUUUCUCUAAUUGUGCAGAAAGCUCAGAUAAUUUAUCAGCACGAACAGUUGCAAUGUGGGCAUCAAUAUCACGUCGAAGUUUAUCCCUUAUUCUAGAAGUGUCCCAGUUUGCUUGCUCAAUGAUAGCACCGGCACAUUCAUUGUCAAAAAUAGCCAUGUAGGUUUGAGCACAAUUAGAGGCAGCCAAAGAAAACCCUUCCCCUUCAUUCAAAGCUUUGUCAAAUGCCUCCUUGAACUUAUCAAAUGUCCCAGACCUUAUGUGACCCAACAGAGAUUGGAAGGCUGAUUGAACAAGUUGCAACAAUUUUUCUUCAAGUUGUGCUCUCUUUGCAGAUCUCACACCUUCGUCAAAAAAUGUGGCUUCUGCAUCAUACUCUGAUAAACAUGUAUCAAUGAUCGAACUUAGCUUCUUUCCAAAACCUUGAACUGGACCAGAUUGUACUUCUUCUUCCAACCUCAACCAGUCCUCAUUUGAUGCAAACCAGGCAAACUUCUCAUUGCCAAUUUCCUCACAGCGAACCGUAGCCACCAUAACCUUAUGCGCUGGAAGGUCAAGAUCCUUGUUCUCCUUGAUAACUUUCCAGAUUUGCUGAGCACUAAAAGAAAAACCUGAAGCAGGAACAACUCCCCUGCGAUCUCCAGCAAGCCCUCCUGGGGCAAUAGAAUGGAAGAAUCUCUGUCUCAAAUUUGCCACCUG
RNAcentral lists this unclassified non-coding RNA (1018 nucleotides) under Hevea brasiliensis (rubber tree). Lineage: Eukaryota; Viridiplantae; Streptophyta; Magnoliopsida; Malpighiales; Euphorbiaceae. The record is from RNAcentral.